UAGGGAAUCUUCGGCAAUGGGGGGAACCCUGACCGAGCAACGCCGCGUGAGUGAAGAAGGUUUUCGGAUCGUAAAGCUCUGUUGUUAAGGAAGAACGAGUGUGAGAAUGGAAAGUUCAUGCUGUGACGGUACUUAACCAGAAAGCCACGGCUAACUACGUGCCAGCAGCCGCGGUAAUACGUAGGUGGCAAGCGUUGUCCGGAUUUAUUGGGCGUAAAGCGAGCGCAGGCGGUCAAUUAAGUCUGAUGUGAAAGCCCCCGGCUCAACCGGGGAGGGUCAUUGGAAACUGGUUGACUUGAGUGCAGAAGAGGAGAGUGGAAUUCCAUGUGUAGCGGUGAAAUGCGUAGAUAUAUGGAGGAACACCAGUGGCGAAGGCGACUCUCUGGUCUGUAACUGACGUUGAGGCUCGAAAGCGUGGGGAGCGAACAGG
This 430-nucleotide ribosomal RNA is filed under the name Bacteroidota bacterium. RNAcentral describes it as "Bacteroidetes bacterium partial 16S ribosomal RNA". It matches the Rfam family "Bacterial small subunit ribosomal RNA", at positions 355 to 776 of the family's 1533-position model. The record is from RNAcentral. Lineage: Bacteria; Pseudomonadati; Bacteroidota.